Non-coding RNA from Pelobates cultripes (western spadefoot toad), 213 nucleotides. The record is from the annotation of a GenBank genome assembly. Lineage: Eukaryota; Metazoa; Chordata; Amphibia; Anura; Pelobatidae.
CUGGGACAGGGAUUUCUUGUGGGCCUUAGCUCUGCUGGGCUUGCUCUGAGCUCCCCUGUGAAGUCAUCCUGGGAACUGAGGGAGGGGCCCUGCAGGCUGGAUAUGGAGGCAGCUCUGCCAGAACUCCGCCCAGGAAGAGGUAAGGGGCAGGCAUUGAGUUCCAGCAUGUGUGCUAGAUGUGCCUCCGCGGCACACACAAAUAAUGAAUACAGC